CAAGUAGAAAGAAAAGGCUGGAGCAAAGAUGAGAAAAGCACCAUAUGCCAAGGGUUUGUAAGGAGAGUAGCAGAUCAGAAACCUUUGACUAGAGAAGAUGUGAAUGGAGACAGAUUCUGAUGAUGCCAUCAUUGGGAGGCAGGAUGACUAUAAGACACUAAUUCCUCAUCCAUAAAGAUUUCUACAAGUGGUUCAUUUGAAAUGAAUACAGAUUUCAUUACAAGACGUGAGUGUGUUCAAAGGAAACAGCCAAUCAAAAUGAACUUAGUGUGCAUGGUGCAACAUCCUGGAUGGUGUGUAGUAUGUUUGUUAACAUGUGAAGCCUACGUGUAUUUCAGGGAGUUGUCUCCCAUGUUUAAGAUCAGUAAUGGCGGAUAUACAGUGCAGUAUGCUGUCUGGUCAUCAACAGAGAGUUUUGACACCCGUAUUUCUACCAAUCACCUCUGUAACCUUUGUUGUGUUCAUCAGAUAGAUUCACCAGAUGCAGCUGCUCCAUCUCCAUCACUGGUGAAAUGGGAAAUGACUAGUGGACGGUCAUCACUUUGUAACUCACCAUUUUGCAGCCCAUCUCUUCUCAUCUUCAGUGGUGGCCUUUGGAGGAAUGGUUGCAGUGCAGUCUUCGUGUCUUAGGCAGUUAACUUCCUUUCCUUUGCUUCUCAGUUUUUAGCUCAACUCAACGAAAUUGGGGAACCUUAUGUGAUACCCUCAGCAUUGGUGUUGGUGUCCCAGGUUAAAGUUUUUGGAGCAGAGUUCUUUUUAACUAUGAAAAUGAAGAACUGGAGAGGAUCUUGAUUGAUUUUUCUUGAAUGAGACACAAGUGCCUUCCAUUUGUGAUACUAAAGGAAGCUGUUACAAAUUUAGUUUGCCACAGUACUGGCCUGACAUAUGAGGACAGGAAUAAAAGAUGUUUUAAAAUAGAAAUGUCUAUAAUUUAACUUAUAAGUAUGAUUAACUAAGAUCACAAACAACAAAUCAGUUGCAUUGCAAAUGUACAUAUAGCAUGUUUGCACUUACGACGGAAUAUUCACUCCCUUUCAGUGAAAGUGUUGGCAUGCAGGUCAAUUAUUGUCACCAAAUCGUCUGUCAUAUUCUCAGCAUGCAGCUGUAGAAUUUGAUCAGAAAGAUUAGCUACACUAUUCUAUGUAUAAGUCUUAUGUAUAAAUCUAAGACAUUUUGGUUUCUAGUCACCAGUCUAUAUUUAUAAUCAUUGUAGUGUAAAAAAAUUCUGGUCCAUAAGUCGAUUGAGACUUUAUGUUUUAGUGAAAUGUUUUGUUUAUUUAUUGCCAACUCGCUGUAAAUCAAAUGUAGUUAAAAAUUUCAGCACUUUCAUUGUGUUUAUGCAAUUUAUUGUUCUUCAAUGUCAGUGACAUGUAUAUCAUUUUAUGAUGCACAAUCAGUAUUAUUGUACCAGAUUUAUACUUGUCUCUUAUUGAUCUGCAUUUU
Saccostrea echinata is the source of this 1443-nucleotide long non-coding RNA. RefSeq lists it as uncharacterized. NCBI's taxonomy places the organism in Eukaryota, Metazoa, Mollusca, Bivalvia, Ostreida, Ostreidae. The transcript has 9 exons. The record is from RefSeq and is a predicted model, not a curated record.